Molecule: long non-coding RNA, 780 nt
Filed under: Sinocyclocheilus grahami
Lineage: Eukaryota; Metazoa; Chordata; Actinopteri; Cypriniformes; Cyprinidae
Description: lncRNA (ENSSGRG00000051066.1)
Source: RNAcentral
UGCUGUCAGGUGUUUUCAGUCAGUUCAGGUGUGGCACCCCAUAAACAAAACUGCAUGAUAUUAAUUACCUGCUGUUCAAAAGAAAUACGGGCCUAUGAAAAAUAUUUCAAAGAAGCUGAGAAGACAUUUUGGAUUAAAAUAUUUGGGCUUUCAUCAGUCUGCUGUUGUAUAUCUCAUCAGAAGCAAAGACUUUGAAAGCGAGGACAGUUUCGGGAGCUCAGAGAGCACGUUUGGUGGCGAGCAUCUUUUAGCACCCUGCCCAGAUGGCGCACGACGAUCGGAUGUGGGGGAGCCACCAAUAAAUAUAUUUCCACAUUUAAACCACGAAAGAGGAAAGGAGUGUCGAUCAAAGAGCCAGAUCUCCGAGACAGGAGAUGGGGAUGCCUCGGAGUCCAGAGAGGGCAGCACAAGUGUGGCAUUGUGGGCUAAAGGAGAGACGGCCAUUGUUCCUGCCCGCUGCCUGCCACAGCUGUGCACGAAUAAGAGCAGGGACAAACCACAACAUAUAUCAAUGUGGAGGCUGUGAGGGAUGGUCCACGGGUGUCCACACUCAAAGAAGCCUAGUGUCUUUCAACUAAAAAAAGCCAAAGGGCGCACAAAUCACUAAAGGUGACGCUUUUAUUGCUUUCAAUCCACAGGAGGAGACAAGAGAGCUAGUAAAAGGAACUGAUUCCUGAGGAAUAGAAAAUGCAUUUGUGUGAGAGAUAAUAUCUGUCUAUGCACACAUGCAUAUAUACAGUGAAUAUACUUAAUUUAAAAUUUAAACUUUUUUUACAGAGU